CCUUGCUAGUCUAAGUGUACAGGCAGUAUAGUAUAACACAGCCUCUCUUUCCCCAAAUAUAUUCCUCAAGACAUGACUAGAUGAUCAAUGAGAAAAGAGUUCCAUGAACGUGCAAGUUCAAGAAACAUUGGAGUAAACCAGGUUCAAUAGCCUUCUUUGCUACGGGCCUUCUCAGGGCCUUAGUAAGCUAAGGCACUCGUGAUUCUCAGAGGAUUACAGCGUGCAGCCUUUGACCACAGAAGACAUCUUUAUACCAGAGUAUGUGGAUCACCAGCUCCGAGGACAGUUGAAGCUGGGAGGUGCCACUGGCCACCUUUGUCACCACUGAGAGAAGCAUGCCUGGUGUUGAAGCCAACACAGAGUUGAAGAAACGGAUGCCCAAAGAAAGGAAUGGGUUGGCCUGUGGCACCCAGCCAGCAACUGACGGAGCCAGGAUUUGAAACAGAUUCACCCCGAAGGACAGAACCCAGAGGCUGCAUGUUCAGAAAGAUGACACAGCCAAGUUCCCCAAUAUCCACGACAGCCCUCUCUAUGGUUCCUAAGGCUCAUUAAGAUGGAAGAGCAAGACUCCAGCUUCUGGACAGAUUCCCAACAAGAAAAUUUAGAAGAGAGGACGGAGAACCAAAGUUUUGCCUUGGCCCCGCCCCUUUUGAGCUACGAUGAAGCUUCUCAGAGGGUGCAACAUCUCUGUUUCCAGGAGCACCAGAUGGAGGGGCUGGAGCUGGCUUCCCUCGAGCUAAGUCACAGCCAAUCAGAUGGACCCACCAGCUUUCAACCAGAAGCUGGUGAUGCAAAGAAGUGGGGCCAAUGGAAAAGCCAUUCUGGUGAGGCCAGCAGCAGGAGCAGCAAUUUCUGAUCUCCAGGGACAGUGAUGGUGGCAACGGUACCUUGGUGAUGUCCUCUGGUCAGGCAAGAUGUCAUCAGUGUCCUCACCAGUGACCACAAUUCUGGCCUUGGUCCUGGCUGCCAUCUUGCCUUCCUGUUCCAGCUCAUUUUGUAAGCCUGGGACUUCCUGGUGAUUC
This 1022-nucleotide long non-coding RNA is filed under the name Equus caballus (horse). RNAcentral's name for it is "lncRNA (ENSECAG00000046718.1)". The record is from RNAcentral. Lineage: Eukaryota; Metazoa; Chordata; Mammalia; Perissodactyla; Equidae.